GCAAGUCGAGCGGAAACGACAUUAUUGAUUCUUCGGAGGAUUUAAUGGGCGUCGAGCGGCGGACGGGUGAGUACUGCCUAGGCAAUUGCCUUGAUGUGGGGGAUAACCAUUGGAAACGAUGGCUAAUACCGCAUAAUGCCUACGGGCCAAAGAGGGGGAUCUUCUGACCUCUCGCGUCAAGAUAUGCCUAGGUGGGAUUAGCUAGUUGGUGAGGUAAUGGCUCACCAAGGCGACGAUCCCUAGCUGGUCUGAGAGGAUGAUC
This 262-nucleotide ribosomal RNA is filed under the name uncultured bacterium. RNAcentral describes it as "partial 16S ribosomal RNA". It matches the Rfam family "Bacterial small subunit ribosomal RNA", at positions 57 to 305 of the family's 1533-position model. The record is from RNAcentral.